Molecule: ribosomal RNA, 484 nt
Filed under: uncultured bacterium
Lineage: Bacteria
Description: partial 16S ribosomal RNA
Rfam family: Bacterial small subunit ribosomal RNA
Source: RNAcentral
AUUGAACGCUGGCGGCAGGCCUAACACAUGCAAGUCGAGCGGAUGAAGGGAGCUUUCUCCUGGAUUCAGCGGCGGACGGGUGAGUAAUGCCUAGGAAUCUGCCUGUUAGUGGGGAAUAACGUCCGGAAACGGGCGCUAAUACCGCAUACGUUCUGAGGGAGAAAUUGGUGGAUCUUCGGUCCUCACGCUAUCAGCUGAGCCUAGGUCGGAUUAGCUAGUUGGUGUGGUAAAGGCCUACCAAGGCGACGAUCCGUAACUGGUCUGAGAGGAUGAUCUGUCACACUGGAACUGAGACAAGGUCCAGACGCAUACGGGAGGCAGAAGUAGGGAAUAUUAGACAAUGGGCGAAAGCCUGAACCAGCAACGCCGCGUGUGUGAAGAAGGUAUUCGGAUUGUAAAGCACUUUAAGUAGGGAGGAAGGGAAGUAAGUUAACAACUUGCUGUCUUGACGUUACCAAAAGAAAAAGCCACGGAUAACUUCGUG